This 296-nucleotide ribosomal RNA is filed under the name uncultured bacterium. Its description in RNAcentral is "partial 16S ribosomal RNA". The record is from RNAcentral.
GGACUACAGGGGUAUCUAAUCCCAUUCGCUCCCCACGCUUUCGUCCUAGCAGUGUCAGGUGGCACCCAGAAGCCCGCCUUCGCUAUUGGUGUUCCAAACGAUAUCAACGCAUUUCACUACUACACCGUUUGUUCCAGCUUCCUCUUUGCCCCUCUAGUCUAAAAGUUUCAAAAGACAGUCUCAAAGUUGAGCCUUGAGAUUUCACUUCUGACUUUUUAGACCACCUAUCGGUACGCUUUACGCCCAAUGAUUCCGGAUAACGCUUGAGGUCUCUGUAUUACCGCGGCUGCUGGCAC